CUACGGGUUGCUGCAGUGGGGAAUUUUGGACAAUGGGCGCAAGCCUGAUCCAGCCAUUCCGCGUGAGUGAAGAAGGCCUUCGGGUUGUAAAGCUCUUUCGCAAGGGAAGAAAACUUAUCCUCUAACAUAGGGUGAGGUUGACGGUACCUUGAUAAGAAGCACCGGCUAACUACGUGCCAGCAGCCGCGGUAAUACGUAGGGUGCGAGCGUUAAUCGGAAUUACUGGGCGUAAAGCGUGCGCAGGCUGUUUUGUAAGUCAGAUGUGAAAUCCCCGAGCUCAACUUGGGAACUGCGUUUGAAACUACAAGACUAGAAUAUGUCAGAGGGGGGUAGAAUUCCAUGUGUAGCAGUGAAAUGCGUAGAGAUGUGGAGGAAUACCAAUGGCGAAGGCAGCCCCCUGGGAUAAUAUUGACGCUCAUGCACGAAAGCGUGGGGAGCAAACAGGAUUAGAUACCCGAGUAGUC
RNAcentral lists this ribosomal RNA (464 nucleotides) under uncultured bacterium. RNAcentral's name for it is "partial 16S ribosomal RNA". It matches the Rfam family "Bacterial small subunit ribosomal RNA", at positions 339 to 795 of the family's 1533-position model. The record is from RNAcentral.